AUUGAACGCUGGCGGCAGGCCUAAUACAUGCAAGUCGAACGGUAACAUAGGAAAAGCUUGCUUUUCCUGAUGACGAGUGGCGGACGGGUGAGUAAGAUUUGGGAAGCUACCUGAUAGAGGGGGACAACAGUUGGAAACGACUGCUAAUACCGCAUACAGCCUGAGGGUGAAAGCAGCGAUGCGCUAUCAGAUGCGCCCAAAUGGGAUUAGCUAGUAGGUGAGGUAAAAGGCUCAACCUAGGCGACGAUCUCUAGCUGGUCUGAGAGGAUGAUCAGCCACAUUGGGACUGAGACACGGCCCCAAAACUUCCCUAGGGGAGGGCAGCAGUGGGGAAUAUUGCACAAUGGGGAACCCUGAUGCAGCGACGCC
RNAcentral lists this ribosomal RNA (369 nucleotides) under uncultured bacterium. Its description in RNAcentral is "bacterial SSU rRNA". It matches the Rfam family "Bacterial small subunit ribosomal RNA", at positions 30 to 398 of the family's 1533-position model. The record is from RNAcentral.